CAAUAGCGUAUAUUAAAGCUGUUGCGGUUAAAAAGCUCGUAGUUGGAUUUCUGUCAAGGACAACUGGUCCGCCCUCCGGGUGAGCACAUAGUUUGGUCUUGACAUCUUGCUGGAAGCUGUUGCUGCACUUGGCUGUGUGGCGCAGUGUUCAGCACUUUCACUUUGAGGAAAUUGGAGUGUUUCAAGCAGGCACAUGCCUUUGGACACAGUAGCAUGGAAUAAUUAGAUUGGGCUUUUGCUCCAAUUUGUCGGUUUCUGGAGCUGAGGUGAGUAUUAAUGGGGAUUGUUGGGGGCAUCCGAAUUUAGCCGUCAGAGGUGAAAUUCUUGGAUCUGCUAAAGACGGACAACUGCGAAAGCGUUUGCCCAGGAUGUUUUCAUUAA
RNAcentral lists this ribosomal RNA (381 nucleotides) under uncultured eukaryote. RNAcentral's name for it is "partial 18S ribosomal RNA". It matches the Rfam family "Eukaryotic small subunit ribosomal RNA", at positions 592 to 976 of the family's 1831-position model. The record is from RNAcentral.